UAGGGAAUCUUCGGCAAUGGGGGGAACCCUGACCGAGCAACGCCGCGUGAGUGAAGAAGGUUUUCGGAUCGUAAAGCUCUGUUGUUAAGGAAGAACGAGUGUGAGAAUGGAAAGUUCAUGCUGUGACGGUACUUAACCAGAAAGGGACGGCUAACUACGUGCCAGCAGCCGCGGUAAUACGUAGGUCCCGAGCGUUGUCCGGAUUUAUUGGGCGUAAAGCGAGCGCAGGCGGUUAGAAAAGUCUGAAGUGAAAGGCAGUGGCUCAACCAUUGUAGGCUUUGGAAACUGUUUAACUUGAGUGCAGAAGGGGAGAGUGGAAUUCCAUGUGUAGCGGUGAAAUGCGUAGAUAUAUGGAGGAACACCGGUGGCUAAAGCGGCUCUCUGGUCUGUAACUGACGCUGAGGCUCGAAAGCGUGGGGAGCGAACAGG
This 429-nucleotide ribosomal RNA is filed under the name Bacteroidota bacterium. RNAcentral's name for it is "Bacteroidetes bacterium partial 16S ribosomal RNA". It matches the Rfam family "Bacterial small subunit ribosomal RNA", at positions 355 to 776 of the family's 1533-position model. The record is from RNAcentral. Lineage: Bacteria; Pseudomonadati; Bacteroidota.